UCCUGGCUUAGGACGAACGCUGGCGGCGUGCUUCAUUACAUGCAAGUCGAACGAGAAGUCAUCUUCGGGUGAUGGAAAGUGGCGGACGGGUGAGUAAUGUGUAGAGAAUCUGCCCUAGAGAGAGGGACAACAGUUGGAAACGACUGCUAAUACCUCAUAUGCGCGUAGCUGAGAUGCUAUUCGUGAAAACUCCGGUGCUCUGGGAUGAGUCUGCAUCUGAUUAGCUAGUUGGCGGUGUAAUGGACCACCAAGGCGACGAUCAGUAGCUGGUUUGAGAGGAUGAUCAGCCACAAUGGGACUGAGACACGGCCCAUACUCCUACGGGAGGCAGCAGUAGGGAAUUUUGCGCAAUGGGGGAAACCCUGACGCAAGCAACGCCGCGUGAUUGAAUAAGCCCUUCGGGGUGUAAAGAUCUGUCAGUAGGGACGAAACUUGACGGUACCUACAGAGGAAGCAUCGGCUAACUCCGUGCCAGCCGCAGC
This 482-nucleotide ribosomal RNA is filed under the name uncultured bacterium. Its description in RNAcentral is "bacterial SSU rRNA". It matches the Rfam family "Bacterial small subunit ribosomal RNA", at positions 17 to 518 of the family's 1533-position model. The record is from RNAcentral.